RNAcentral lists this ribosomal RNA (441 nucleotides) under uncultured bacterium. RNAcentral's name for it is "partial 16S ribosomal RNA". It matches the Rfam family "Bacterial small subunit ribosomal RNA", at positions 338 to 795 of the family's 1533-position model. The record is from RNAcentral.
CCUACGGGAGGCAGCAGUGGGGGAUAUUGCACAAUGGGGGGAACCCUGAUGCAGCGACGCCGCGUGGGUUCAGGCGUGCUUCGGCAUGUCACGCCCUCUCGGCCGUGCCGCCGCCCGCCGGUCCCUGACUAAGAAGCCCCGGCUAACUACGUGCCAGCAGCCGCGGUAAUACGUAGGGGGCGCGAGUUAUCCGGAUUCCCUGGGUGUACCGGGCGCGUCGACGGCCAUGCACGCCCGAGGUGACCGCCCGGGGCCCCCCCCCGGGACUGCCCUUGGAACUGCAUGGCUGGAGUGCGGGAGGGGCAAGCGGAAGUCCUGGUGGAGCGGUGAAAUGCGUAGAUAUUAGGAGGAACACCAGUGGCGAAGGCGGCUUACUGGACUGUAACUGACGUUGAGGCUCGAAAGCGUGGGGAGCAAACAGGAUUAGAUACCCGAGUAGUC